AAUUUUUUUAAACAAAGAAGUCUUUAAGUGAUGACACUUGCCUGUUAUAUACAUGAAAAGAGUGCAUCACAAUUAGCAUAUAGCUAAAAGUAAUAAACUUGUAUGGUAGAUCCAUGUACGUGUGGUUAUCAUGUUACCUGAGCUGAACAACUAUUGUUAUUCUUGGAGUAACAUGAAAAUUCAAGUAAUUCAUAACUAUAUUCCAGAAUAAAAUAACUAUAGGAGACAAAAAAGAUUUGCCGCAUACACGAAAACUUGUACAGAAAUGUCACCUAGUUUAACUGAACUUAAAAUCUAGUAACAAUGUAGCAAAGUCGGCAGUCACCUACCUGCAACUCUAAAAAAUAAACAAAAUGCCAUUUUUCAGAUGUGAACUAAUGGAUACUAGUAUAACAAUAGAAUAAAUGAAAAGUCAGGAGAAAGAAAACUUAUUCCAUCAGGAACUAUGAAUGUGUCUAAUGUAACUUUGAAUAUACGAUGAUCAAGACCUUCAACCUGAAAAAGACGAUGAUCAUCAAAUCAGCAUCAGAAAUACUACAUGGAGGUGCUAGGUAAGGAGUUGAUGGCGAGAUUCAUAUCGAGAAUGGUAUUAUAAAGCCCAUCACAUGUCUCCUCAGAUGCCCAUUAAUUUCUGAGUUUGUGAUGGCUAUUUUAAGCUGCACCAUGCACCUGACAUGUUACUAGAGAAGAAGAGAUAAACCGGUCCAGUUUGGCCUGGCUGUCCAGGAGGAACUGAGCGCAUAGUUACUGGAUUAGUUCAUCUAUCUAAUGGCAUUGGUCAAGUAUAUUGCAACAACAGGUCAAAAGGACCACAACCCCUCAAAUUCGAUAAACAUUGUCAGUGUCCCCCCCUCAAUAGCUUACCACCGAUAGAAAUGAGCAGCCCAGAAACCUUCUACCGUAGUGGCAGAGUCAGCUUAAAAAACGCUACCAUUGCCAUGCUAGAAGCUCUACCAAGAGUUGUUGAAUCCUCACCUCGUAUAAGUCACAUGAGACCCAACUUACAUACUCCUCAACAGAGAUGGGGGUUAGAUAUAGUACUUCUCCAAGAUUUCCAUAUUUUUGGCCCGAGAAAGAAUAAACUAACCUGAAACCACAAUAUCAAGUGUAAAUCAAAAGUAAUUUAGUGGGAUGUACAUAUCUACAUAAAAGAUAUAUACUAUGAUGGAAAUUACAAAAGAAACGUUUGUUUUAAAUUGUCAAGCAACAAAAUAAUUAAACAUGUCUGAUUUAUAUGUUAGAUGAAAAUCCAUAGGUGCAUGUACGGAACCAAAACACAAUCAGAUUCCUCUUCGAUUCAUUGCACCGGAGAACAAACAUCAUGGGCAUACACAUAAAACGAAGGAUAAUUUCACAGCAUGACACGACGUGUACGCAUUACUAGGAGCAAUGAAACCAUCUCACCAUGGCACGGAUGCACUCCUCGAAGGAUUCAUGCUACUUGUCACAGAGCUGCUGCAAGUAGUGUAGAUGUUGUAUAUCAUGGUAUGCGACAAAUAGAGAAAAACAACAGGGGCGGAAACCCUAGAUCCGCACCGGAUUAGAACAAAUCACGCCUAAUACAGAUAGAGAAAAACAGGGGGACCCAAGAUUAGCAUUGGAUUAGAACGAAUCGGGCCUAGCCGGGGCAUGUCCGGAGGUGGAGGGAGGAGGCAACGGAUUCAACUUACGUGUCUUCCUCAUUUAAUCCUUGAAGCUAAAUUUGGCUCUGGCUUGCCCUGAAGGAUGCCGAUGAGAUUAUUGGUGCCCCACCUAGCCUCUAGAUCGAUCUUCUUGAGAUUCGGUCGUGCUCCGCCAUCGCCAUCAUACCCACUGAUUCUGCCCUGGGACGGACGUCGUAAACCCUAGAGGAGGUUGGAUUCUCUUGCAUCCAUGACUUUGUGGGGAGUUGAGAUGGUGGAGAUGGGAGACAGAGAGGUUAGCUUAUGAGGGAUUCAAGACGUUUCGCUUCCGCUUCGGCUGGUCGAGGAAUGAAAGUCAUAAGAGGAGGGGCGGGGAUUGUGGAGCAUGAAGGGGC
Molecule: long non-coding RNA, 2017 nt
Filed under: Triticum aestivum (bread wheat)
Lineage: Eukaryota; Viridiplantae; Streptophyta; Magnoliopsida; Poales; Poaceae
Description: long non-coding RNA (TAES_LNC001363)
Source: RNAcentral